UUUACACUUUUUUGUGUAGACCGCCUGCCUCUGUGUGUUUGAGUGUGUGCGUGCGUGCGCGUUCGCGUUGUUUUUUGUAUUUUGUACAGUUAUUUUACUUAUUUAUUGCAAUUGUGCUGCAUGCAAAGCAUUAAAAUAGGUUUAAAAUGUGGCCAAAACGUGUGCAAUAAAAAAAGUGAAUACUAAAAAGUGCAAGAAAAGCAAAGAAAAAAGGAAAAACAAAACCAACCUAGGGCGGCUAAAAGGCCCGCCUGUGCGUGUGUGUGUGCGUUCGCGUGUGUUUGUGCGUGUGUGCGUUCGCCUGCUUGCAACAGAUGCCGCAAAUCGAACGUGACGAUUUUGUUGUUGUUGCUUGACCUACGCAUAGACCACAUCGACGAUAGCAGCAGCAACAACAACAAGAACCACAACCGAUGCGCGCUCGAACCGAUAUAAAACAAGAAGCGACUACGACAAACGUCAUCAACUAUACCAACAACUACAACAACAACAAUAAUAACGACUAAACGAAAACAACAAUUCAUCAAUCAUGUUCAAGUGCAUUCCAAUCUUCAAGGGCUGCAAUCGGCAGGUGGAAUUUGUGGACAAGCGUCACUGUUCCCUGCCCCAAGUACCCGAAGAGAUUCUACGCUAUUCCCGCACACUCGAGGAACUCUUUCUAGAUGCAAAUCACAUACGCGAUUUGCCAAAGAACUUCUUCAGAUUGCACCGCCUGAGAAAGCUUGGCCUGAGUGACAAUGAAAUUGGACGCCUGCCGCCGGAUAUACAAAAUUUUGAGAAUCUAGUGGAGCUCGACGUUUCACGCAAUGAUAUACCAGACAUUCCCGAUGACAUUAAACAUUUGAAGAGCCUGCAGGUGGCCGAUUUCAGCUCGAACCCCAUACCGAAGUUGCCCUCCGGAUUCUCGCAGCUGAAGAAUCUGACCGUUUUGGGCUUGAAUGACAUGUCACUUACCACAUUGCCAGCCGAUUUCGGCAGUCUGACACAGCUCGAAUCGUUGGAGCUGCGCGAGAAUCUGCUCAAGCAUUUGCCGGAAUCGAUAAGUCAGUUAACGAAACUGAAACGCCUGGACUUGGGCGACAACGAGAUCGAGGAGCUGCCACCAUACCUGGGCUAUUUACCCGGUCUGCAUGAGCUCUGGCUGGAUCACAACCAGCUGCAGCGUCUGCCGCCCGAGCUGGGCCUACUAACACAACUGACCUACCUCGAUGUGUCCGAGAACAGACUGGAGGAGCUGCCGAACGAGAUCAGCGGUCUGGCCAGCCUAACGGACUUGGAUUUGGCACAGAACAUGCUCGAAACACUGCCCGAUGGCAUCGCCAAGCUGAGCCGACUGACCAUUUUAAAACUCGACCAGAAUCGCCUGCAGCGACUGAACGACACGCUUGGCAACUGCGAGAACAUGCAGGAGCUCAUACUAACGGAGAACCUACUCUCCGAACUGCCCGCCUCCAUCGGACGCAUGACCAAGCUGAGCAACCUGAAUGUGGAUCGCAAUUCGCUCGAGUAUCUGCCGCUGGAGAUCGGGCAGUGCGCCAAUCUGGGGGUCCUCAGUCUGCGGGAUAACAAACUGAAGAAGCUGCCGCCAGAGCUUGGAAACUGUACGGUGCUGCAUGUAUUGGACGUGAGCGGCAAUCAGCUGUUGUACUUGCCCUAUUCGCUGGUCAACUUGCAAUUGAAGGCUGUGUGGCUGUCGGAGAACCAGUCGCAGCCGCUGCUCACAUUCCAGCCGGACACGGAUGCGGAAACGGGCGAACAGGUGCUCUCCUGCUACCUGCUGCCCCAGCAAGAAUACCAGCCCCUUACCCCAGCACGCGACCUGGAAUCGGACUCCGAGCCAUAUGAGGAGCGCGAGCCCUCGCGGACUGUGGUCAAGUUUUUCGAGGAGCCCGCCCAGGAGAAGGACACGCCAUUUGUGCGCCAGAACACGCCGCAUCCAAAGGAUCUGAAGGCCAAGGCGCAAAAGUUGAAAGUGGAGCGUAGUCGGCACGAGGAGAAUGCCAAUCUGGUGGCAUUGCCCGAGGAGAAUGGACACAGACCAGUCGUGACAGAAACCACAGCGGAAACGCGAACCAUAUCGAAUAAUCACCAGCAGGUCAACACACCAACGGUGUCGCAGCAAAUACAACAACCAGCUGCUGUGUUGAAUUCCAAACAGCCAAGUGUGGGCAUUGUUUCACCAACGGGGACAGCAACAACAGCAACACCAACACCCAUAGCAGUGCCACAAACCGCACAGGGUAACUCACAGCAUGAGUUAGCCGCUAUCAACAACAACAAUUACAACACAGCUGCUGCAACAACAACGCCGAUUGCAGUUGUAGCAGCCACGCCCGCCGCCUCCGACGUUGGCGCUAAUGACGAGCAGGAGGAGGACUUUGAGUCCGAGCGGCGUGUUGGCUUCCAAGUCGAGGGCGAGGACGAUGAUUUCUACAAGCGUCCGCCCAAGCUGCACAGACGGGACACACCCCAUCAUCUGAAGAACAAGCGUGUCCAGCAGAUGACCGAUAAACAGGCCACCGAGAUAUUAGCCAAUGCCCUGGCCUCUCAGGAGCGCAACGAACCGCUACCCGUAACCCCUCAGCACUCACUGACCAAGCUGCAAUCGCCCAUUGAGGAGAAUGCGGAUGCAGAGCAAUUAGAACAGCUGCAGCAGGAACAGCAACUGCAACAACAACAACAACAACAGUCCUUCAACGCCCCCCUCACGCCCUUAGCAGCAACAACUGCUCCAACGUCCGAGCAGGCGGAUGCACUCGACGGCGUCACGGAGCUGCGUGUGGAGCAGUAUGAAAUACAUAUAGAGCGCACCUCUGCCGGACUGGGGCUGAGCAUAGCCGGCGGAAAAGGUUCCACACCCUUCAAGGGCGACGAUGAUGGCAUAUUCAUAUCGCGCGUUACCGAAGGAGGUCCGGCCGACAUGGCCGGCCUUAAGGUGGGCGACAAAGUGAUCAAAGUAAACGGCAUCUCGGUGUCCGAUGCGGAUCACUACCAGGCGGUGCAGGUGCUGAAGGCUUGUGGUGCAGUAUUGGUGCUGGUCGUGCAACGCGAGGUGACGCGGCUCAUUGGACAUCCGGUGUUCAGCGAAGACGGCAGUGUGUCGCAGAUAUCUGUGGAGACGCGUCCGUUGGUGGCUGAGGUUCCUCGCGUAGCUGCCACACACGAACGUUAUAUACCGCCGCCAAUUGAAAUAGUUCCAGAGCAGAAUCAGCUGUUGCAGCACCAACUACAAACACAACAACAAAAUCAACAGCAAUACACAGCUCCAGUUGUGCACAGCUACUCGGGCAAUGUGUUUGCAACGCCCUCGACUGUUUCCGAACCCGUGUCUAACGGCCUCACUGAGAAUGGAAAGGACGCACCGUUAAGCUAUAUUCAGUUGCACACAACGCUCAUACGCGAUCAAAUCGGCCAGGGUCUGGGCUUCAGCAUAGCCGGUGGCAAGGGCUCACCGCCGUUCAAGGACGACUGUGAUGGCAUUUUCAUUUCGCGCAUCACCGAGGGCGGCCUGGCUCAUCGGGAUGGCAAGAUAAUGGUGGGCGACCGAGUCAUGGCGAUUAACGGCAACGACAUGACGCAGGCACAUCACGACGCAGCUGUUGCCUGCCUCACCGAACCGCAGCGCUUUGUGCGGCUCGUACUGCAGCGUGAAUAUCGUGGGCCGCUCGAGCCGCCCCUCAGUCCACGUAGCCCGGCGGUGCUGAACUCGUUGAGUCCCUCCGGCUAUUUGGCCAAUCGACCAGCCAACUUCAAGCGCUCUGUGGGCGAUGUGGGCGCCACUGAGAUACAGCAGCCAUACAAAUACAAUACUUUGGCGACCACGCCCACCGCAGCAGCUACAUCUGGUGCUGCCUAUAACUAUAACAACAACGCGGCGGCCAGCAACACGCUGCCCAGUAGCAAGACAAAUGGCUUUGCUGUUGCGACUCAGCCAGCUCCCAUAGACAAGGUCACAGGUCAACCUGUGCCGGCGCCGCGUCGCACCAAUUCCGUGCCACUCGGCGAUAACGAUGUGGCGCCCAAUGGCGCUGCCUCCACCACCAGCGGUGAUUCUGGCGAGGCUCAGCCUUCCUCACUGCGCCCGUUGACCAGCGAAGAUUUUCAGGCGAUGAUACCGGCACAUUUUCUCAGCGGCGGCAGUCAGCAUCAGGUGCAUGUGGCCAAGCCCAAUGAGGUGGGCAUCAGUGCUGUCACCGUCAAUGUGAACAAGCCGCAGCCUGAUUUGCCAAUGUUUCCGGCAGCGCCCACCGAACUCGGUCGCGUCACCGAGACCAUCACCAAGAGCACGUUCACGGAGACGGUAAUGACGCGCAUUACCGACAAUCAGCUGGCGGAGCCAUUGAUCAGUGAGGAGGUUGUGUUGCCUAAAAAUCAAGGGUCCCUUGGCUUCAGUAUCAUUGGAGGUACGGAUCAUUCCUGUGUGCCUUUUGGCACACGAGAGCCCGGCAUUUUUAUAUCACAUAUUGUGCCCGGAGGUAUAGCAUCAAAAUGCGGCAAACUACGCAUGGGGGACCGCAUACUGAAGGUCAACGAGGCGGAUGUAUCUCGGGCGACCCACCAGGAGGCGGUGAUGGAGCUCUUGAAGCCCGGCGAUGAAAUCAAGCUCACCAUACAACAUGAUCCUCUGCCGCCUGGUUUCCAGGAAGUUAUACUCACAAAGGCUGAGGGCGAGCGCCUAGGUAUGCACAUAAAGGGCGGCUUGAAUGGACAACGCGGCAAUCCCGUGGAUCCCUCCGACGAGGGCGUAUUUAUAUCCAAAAUCAAUUCCGUAGGCGCGGCAAGACGUGAUGGCAGACUUAAGGUGGGCAUGCGCCUGCUCGAGGUCAAUGGCCACUCGCUGCUGGGUGCCUCGCAUCAGGAUGCAGUAAACGUCCUGCGCACCGCGGGCAAUGAAAUAAAAUUGGUCGUCUGCAAAGGUUACGACAAAUCCAAUUUAAUUCAUUCCAUUGGCCAGGCCGGCGGCAUGAGCACUGGCUUUAAUUCAUCGACCUCUUGCAGCGGUGGCAGUCGUCAUGGCUCGCGCGCCUCAGAAACAGGUUCGGAGCUGAGUCAAAGCCAAAGCGUUUCCAGCUUAGAUCACGAUGAGGAGGAGCGUUUGCGACAGGACUUUGAUGUGUUUGCCACCCAGAAGCCUGAGGUGGUCACGGGUGAGCCGACAAGCCAAACGGGCUUGGCAGCUGCCGCGGCCUUGGUGCAUGGCGCGCCAUCACCCACACUGCCUGCAGCCACGCCCUCGCCUGCUGCUGAUUUAGUGCGCAGUCAAACGCCUGUUGCGGCAGACACGUCAGCAGCUCAAACCGUGGCGCUCAUUCACGCCGAACAAGCACAACAACACCAACAGCAGACGCAGCUGGCGCCACUUGGUCAGGAGAAGAGCACCCAGGAGAAGGUGCUGGAAAUUUGUAGGGCUGCAGACGCCUUUACCACCGUGCCACCAAAGUCUCCCUCGGAGCAUCCGCAUGAGCAGGACAAAAUACAAAAGACGACAACGGUUGUCAUAUCGAAGCACACCCUCGAUACGAAUCCUACAACACCUACAACUCCGGCGACGCCCCAACUGCUGGCGCCGCUUCCAUCGUCGGCGACAGUGCCCGCAGUCGAGUCAGUGGCCGCCACAUCGACACAGACUCCCCAACAACAACAACAGCAACGCGCUACGCAGACGCCAGAGCGAUUGGCACCAGGGGCCCGCUACUCCUAUCAACAAAUGUUGGAGAAUAAAGAGGACACCACAGAUGGCAACAAGCUGCCAGCGAAGCCCAAAAAAGCCGAGCCCGUUUACAUAAUUGAUGACGAUGACGAAGAUGAUGAAGACAAUGAAGAUGAACAACCUUACGUGGAAGAUGACAACGAUCAGGAUGAGGACGACUCCCAGCAGCACGAGUCUUCACCGCCCUACGACUGGCAAUCCCCCCCAUCCUAUGCCGAUACUGACUCCGAUUGCUUUGACCGUCAGCGCGGUCGUUACACAAGCGAUUCGGAGAGCGAUAAUCGAACGAAAAAGCCGCGUUCUGGUCGCAGCACCCCAGACAGUAGCACAUACAGUGGUGUACAUCGCAAAUCUGUGAGUUUUGACCUUAGUGGAGAUGAGCGUUCAAAGUCAGACUACGAACGCUCACGUACGCCAGAUGGGUACGGUCGUGCCUACGAUUCAGAGCAGGAUUCACGUGGUGCAAACCGAACGCGAAUGCCUCGCAAGGGAAUUUUGCGCGCCACUAGUCCUAGUUCUUCGACUACAUCCUCACUGGAACGUUAUCAACAAGGGCGACCUGAGAAGCUAGUGCCUAUUGUACCGACAGUAGCGCGCAUCAAGGAGGUAGACUCUCCACAGUUGCAGCGCGUUUCGCGUCCAUCGUCGCCAGAGCGUCCAGUGAGUCGCAGCAGCAGUGGAUAUCGUAGCCCGCCGCCACCACCGCCCGCUGAGAGUGUUUUGCCAAGCAGCGAAAUCGAACGUGACAAUCCCUUCCGAGGUGCAAAGGAGGAUGAGUACACAGCUAUAGCUAAGGCGAUAUCAAGGUCCCCACGUUCUCCGCGCUCACCACGUGAUCAGUUCUUUUUCCCGGGUGCCUCGAAAUCAAGUGAAGAUUUACUAGAACAGUCACCUUCUAGCGGUCGCAGUACCCCCAGUACGGUGAUAUCCAAGUCCACAGAAAAUUUGACUGGCGCACGUCCGAAGGUACCGCCGCCUACAUUACCCAAACCGCAGCUUAAAAAAGCGGACCUGGUGCGAAAUUUUGCGUUGGAGAGCUUCCAAGCCAGCGAUGUGGGUCAUGGCGAUUUUGCAGUCUUCGAGCAUGAUGUACAUACAAAUACCAUACAUCCAGUGCCGGUGCCCCCCUCUCCAGGCAAUAAGUUGCCUGUGAGAGUAGGUGCUAGUAGAACUUUGCGUCCCCGUGAAAGUCCACCGCUGCCCCCCGUCAACUAUUCCACAAUGCCCAAAUCUCCCGCACCACCUACGACAGUCCCAUUGCUUGAGGAAUCCCUAUAUAUGGAGGCUCUGCCACCAUCGCAGCGUCGCCCUCAUGACUUUGUCCAUGAGAAUUCACCUGACAACAUUCUUGUCACCCCACAAGAACAUCGCGACAUAUUGCUGCGAGAGAACGAACUACGCAAUCAGCUGCGACGCGGCCAGACUCCUGAACCAGGUGUGCCCUGUGAACCGGCACCACCGAUACCCAUUGUGGGUGGCAAAUAUGCGGUAAACCCCUUUCUUGAUACUUGCGAUGAUAACAUUGACAGUCUACCAUUGCCACCACCACCACAACUGGCAGUUGACAACGAAAUAGACACCGAUCCAUUCAACAUCACCCAACACUCACAUCAUUUGCAUGAGCCACAGAACACAAACGCCGGCUACUCAACACCACUAACCACUGUCGCCACUAACGCAUCUUCUUCUAAUUCUAACCACACGCCUAACAUGCCGCCAUCGUCUACUCAGUCGCGCCUGAUGGAUGCCGCAGCGCCUCAACAGCUGGUCGGUGGCCCAAAUACGGCCCUUUCACCCACUCAAAUCUUUCCCACGGCGCAAAUACUGCCCGUACAGUAUGCGAGUCUGCCGCAACCGCAGCAGCCCAAUACGCUUACUUUGAACCAGGGUAUCCCCCAACAAACCGCCCAGUCCAACCCCCAGCCACAACCCAUUUUCAAUCUUGGCGGUUUUGUGCUGCUUCCCCAAGCCCAAUACAUGUCCAGUCACGCCACCGACCAGAGCAUCGUUUCGUCGAAUGCCUCAGCUGUUCUGCUCACCGGCGCGGGACCUGUUUAUCUGCAGUCGUCAAUGCUCCCGCCCGCGUCGUCGUCUCAGUUACCGUUAACACCUUCGGAAACUGCUGCUGAAAGUGAAACACACACAAAAGCAAUACCAACAACAAACAUACCAACUAAAGUGCCUAAAUCGGUAUCCGAUAAAAAACGCUUCUUCGAAUCUGCUAUGGAGGAACAACACAAGCCCACACAAAAGACAGAAAAAGUUUUCUCAUUCCUGUCAAAGGAUGAAGUCGAGAAGUUGAAGCAGGAAGAGGAGAAGAAAAUUGCAACAUUGCGUCGUGAUAAGAAAUCCAGAUUAUUCGAUGCCCCUGCCAUCAGCCAAAUUGACGAAGACGAUGCCAGGCAUUCUGAUAAGCAGCACAGGCAUAACACACAGCAUAACAACGAUGAUAAUGCCAGCUCGGGCGACAACAACAACAGUAGUGCCGAUAGCAGCAUUAAUGACGCCGAAAGCGAUGCAGGAUCAAUGAAGGCCGUUCGCGACGAUGUCGUUGACAAUGUUAUGUCGCGCAGCGUCGACUUGGCUGACUUCGAUGACGCGGAGGAUGUUAGCAGUGCAGGACAAAGCAAAAGAGAGCAGCCCACUGUACCUAAGACGCCAACACAUGCCACCACCAAGAUACCCAAGCAACAGAAGAAGCAGCAGCAGGAGCAACUAAUAGCCACGCCCGCACCAUCAGCUCCAAUGGAAGCUCCUAAGCCCUCGCUGCUGCCCAAGCCAAAGGUCAAAGUUAUUAUUCCGCCCGCACUGCAGCAGCGACUCAACAAGCAGCCACAGCAGCUGGAGAUAGGCGCGGUGGCAGAGCCAGCGGAGGUCCCGGCACACGCAACGAUUCCAGAGCAGCAACAGGAACAGGAGGAGCAGCUGGAACUGGAGUUGGAACCUGGCACGCCCACCAGCCCCCUCAGUCGCAUACCCGUGCGCACUCUAAAGGCUGAGCGACGCGCCCUUGCGGCAGCCGCACGUCAGGCAGGCCUGAGCUUCAAUGAAUACGUGCGUCAGUUGGAGAAUAAAUCGAUAGAGGAGCAGGGGCGCGGGGCAACGUCGCCAACUACGUCAACUACGCCCACGGGCAAGAGUCGCGCCACCAUUAAUGCUGAGAAGCGCGCUUCGUGGAGGGCUGCACGUCUACGUUCCCUGGAGCAGGGGGCGGUUGAGGCCCAGGAUGCCAUCAAAAACAUGCGCAAGAUGACCGACGAUUUGAUCGCGCACGAGUCGAGGCCACGUGAGCAGAAAAUAGUAUUUCCAAAAAUUGCCAUAAAAUCAAGCGAUGGCCCGGUCAUCGUGCGUGAGCGCGAGAAAAUACUCGAUGAAAAAAUAGUGCGCCGCACUGAAGAGGUGCCGUGCCCCAUAACGGGGCGGCCUCAAUUGCGCACCGUCGAGUACAUUGAGAAAAUCAUCGAAACGGAGGUGGAGACCUGCAAGGAGCGCAUCAUUUCGUUAGAGCUGCAGGAGCCCGAGGCGACGCUUGAGGAUGAGCAGCCACCACUUGAACUGCAGGGCAGCGAUGACGACGAGGACUCUGACGAUGAUGAUGAUGAUGAGGAAGAAGAGGAGGAGGAGGAGGACACCGCCUCCAUUGUCACUGUGCAGGCGAACAGCGAGAAGUUGUUUUUGCGUCACGAUGCCGAUAUGUACGGUCCCUCAUCCAUUGAGAGCGCUUCGUCGGGCAAGGUACGCAUUAAGGCCGUGCCAUUAGCACUGCACCAGACGCUGGCCAAGGAGGUGGUGGCACCGUCCACCACAUUCGUCCAACAAACCACAAUUGUGGAGGUUGUAAAUCCUGUCAUUGGCGGCGAUGGCAGCGCGCGAACCAUUCAAGUGGGUCGCACAACGGACUCCUUCUAUCCCUCUUUCGACGACGAUGAAGAUAGGGAAGAAGCGCGGCAGUGUGAAGAAGAGGAGGAGGAGGAGGAGGAGGGCGCGUUAGGGGUGGUACGCAGUGAAACUUUUGUGCUGCCUGGAUCCAGCGGCCAGACGGAGCUGUCAUUAAAUGCAAAAAUGAAGAAUGUACUCGAGGAGUUGCUGGAGAACGAGCGCGUCAAAUUGAAUUUGCAAAAGAGUCUCGAGGAGCACAGCGACGAUGAGGAGGGCGGCAGCGCCUAUGGCGAUGCACGGGACGACGAAGAGAGCGCUUACGAUGAUGCGCGCGAUGACGUGGAUGAUGUUGUUGACUUUGGGGUCGCCACAGUCACAACUGUUGUCCAUAGAACUAAUGACAACGACAAAAAUGGCAAUCAAAAGCUGCUCGACGAGCUGAUAAAGGACAGCAACCGCAAUACAAUUAUUGGCAAAUUGGCUGGCCAAUUGUUGGACGAUGACGAUGAAGACGAUGACGACGACGACGAGGACGAGGAGGAUGACGACGAGGAGAGCAGCGAGUCGGAUACGGACGAUGACAGCGACUCGGAUGUAGAGGACAAUGGCGGACCAGCGGCUGAGGCCCUGCACAUUGCAUACGUUCAGGGCGCAAAAGUCAUCGAGAAUCUCAAUACGGUGAAAACUGAGGCUAUCGGGGCUGCCGGCAGCAAGUUGCAAAAGUCACAGACAUACAACACCAUGAAGGAGGCGGCAGCGGCGGCGGCAGCCACAGAGCAGGCUGCACAGGAUGAGAAGGAUGAGAGUCCAGCCACCGUCGACGUGAAUUCUGGGGAGGCUGAGGCACUGGCUCCAGCUACAUUGGCGCAACUGCAGGCCGAACAGCGUGCAUUGGCCGAGAUCUCAAAACAGUUGCGUAAAUCAGUGGAGGAUUUGCUGGGCGCCGAAGGGGGCGGUGGGGCAGUGGUUGAGACGCGGCAUACCUACACACUGCCAGCGGACAACGCCGCUGUGGUUACCGUGACCGAAGUGGUGAAGAAGACGAAGACAAAGGGCGGCAAGAAGCACAAGGAGACGGGAGAGGAGCUCUUCAAUCGCCUAUUGAGCGCUGGCGAGGGGGAGAAGCAUGUAUUCGAUCAGCAAACAGGCGAGACGAUAACAACAACGACAACAACCACCGAAUCAGUGGCCAGCCCAGAUGUUGCCGAGCCAAGCACAAGCAUAGUUACAACCACACGCACCGUUUCCAACAUUGUCACGAGCGGUAUUCCGCGACCAGAGGCGUCCAGACAGAUCAGCAGCACGAACCGCAGUGGCAACAAUAACAACAACAAUCGCAACAAAAACAAGCGCAAGGGCAAGAAGAAGUAGAGAGGACGACGGUAUGUGUUUCUGGUUACGCAUACGCCCCGUUGGCCUCAUCACAAAAAAUAAAUGCGCCAACGAGUUGACUUUGAAAGUAGAUUUGAUGAUCUUUGACAAAAACUCAGAGCAUUCCGCAGCCCCUCCCCAAUGCGAUGGGUUCGACUAUAAUAUAAGUGAACACUCACACAAACACACACACACACAGAGACACACACAAAUAAACAAAAAGACGGGUAUUUCAACCACCACAAUUCGUUGGUCUAUUUUUCUCCAUAAGCGCGCCCAGUUGUAAUUUUGUUUUAGUCCCCGUAGCGUACUUGCAGAGAAGUGUAAAAUUUAAAUAUAUUAUUAUACCUGCGUUUUCGUGGUAGUUAACAAUUGAAGUUUCUACUCGUACGAAUAAACAUACACACAUACAUACAUAUACUAUACAGAUAUAAAUGAAGUUAUAUUGUGCGCAUCGUUAAAUUUUUAAUGUAAAAACGAGCAAAACUGUAACACAUACAGACAUACGAUAUUUAGCAUGUAACUGCAACAACAA
This is an RNA transcript of Scaptodrosophila lebanonensis, 11495 nucleotides long. It is a transcript of the gene named protein lap4, with no coding region annotated. The transcript is spliced from 30 exons. The record is from RefSeq and is a predicted model, not a curated record. NCBI's taxonomy places the organism in Eukaryota, Metazoa, Arthropoda, Insecta, Diptera, Drosophilidae.